UACGUAGGUGGCAAGCGUUAUCCGGAUUUACUGGGUGUAAAGGGCGUGUAGGCGGGAUGGUAAGUCAGAUGUGAAAACUAUGGGCUCAACCCAUAGCCUGCAUUUGAAACUAUCGUUCUUGAGUGUUGGAGAGGCAGGCGGAAUUCCGUGUGUAGCGGUGAAAUGCGUAGAUAUAUGGAAGAACACCAGUGGCGAAAGCGGCUCUCUGGUCUGUAACUGACGCUGAGGUUCGAAAGCGUGGGUAGCAAACAGG
Molecule: ribosomal RNA, 253 nt
Filed under: uncultured Oscillospira sp.
Lineage: Bacteria; Bacillati; Bacillota; Clostridia; Eubacteriales; Oscillospiraceae
Description: partial 16S ribosomal RNA
Rfam family: Bacterial small subunit ribosomal RNA
Source: RNAcentral